GGCUUUGCGCAAUGGCAGUAUCAUAGCCAAUGAGGUUAAUCCGAGGCGCGAUUAUUGCUAGUUGAAAAAUUUCUUAUAUGCUUUAUGUAAUGCCCGUUCUGUGGUAGAGCCCAGAAGUCCUAUUUAGAAUUGAGGUCACAUUAGCUAGAAU
RNAcentral lists this small nuclear RNA (151 nucleotides) under Crocodylus porosus (Australian saltwater crocodile). RNAcentral's name for it is "U4 spliceosomal RNA (ENSCPRG00005019187.1)". The stretch from base 1 to 82 matches the Rfam family "U4 spliceosomal RNA". Rfam says of the family: U4 small nuclear RNA (U4 snRNA) is a component of the major U2-dependent spliceosome. The structure of U4 snRNA from yeast and human has been reported. U4 snRNA presents a k-turn RNA motif in the 5p-SL related to recognition of Snu13 protein. The record is from RNAcentral. Lineage: Eukaryota; Metazoa; Chordata; Crocodylia; Crocodylidae.